Molecule: non-coding RNA, 2403 nt
Organism: Macaca mulatta (Rhesus monkey)
Lineage: Eukaryota; Metazoa; Chordata; Mammalia; Primates; Cercopithecidae
Source: RefSeq, a predicted model, not a curated record
GAGCGACAGAGCAAGACUUUAAAAAGAAAAGAACCAGGUUGUACAGCAGGAGGUGAACAGUGAGCCAGUGAGCCAGUGAGCGUUAUCCCCUGAGCUCUGCCUCCUGUCACAUCAGCAAUGGCAUCAGAUUCUCAUAGCAGCUCGAACAGUAUUGUGAACUACGCAUGGAGGGAUCUAGGUUGUGCGCUCCUUAUGAGAAUCUAACUAAUGCCCGAUGAACAGUUUCAUCCCCAAAAUCAUCCCCUCCCACAACCACCCCCAUCUGUGGAAAAAAUGUAUUCCACCAAACCAGUCCCUGGUCCCAAAAAGGCUGGGGAUCACUGCUCUAGAGAACUCCAUGUGUGUCUGUGGAACUCGGGUGCACGGUUGCUUGAACCAAAUUGCAAAGACUUAUGCUAAAGUGAUAAUAUUUUGGACUACAAAUAGAGUUCAAUAAAAACAUGGUUAACAUUAAUUUCACCUGUUACUUACUGUGCCUAUUAGAAAACUAGAAAUUAUGUAUGUGGCUUACAUUGUAUUUCUAUUGGACAGCAAUGAUUAGGAAGUGCUUGACUCUUAAGCACUCAGUCAAUGUUAACUCUGAUUAUGUUUCAAGAAACUUUAUGAGGUCAAGGAAUGCAUAUUGUUUAGUGCUGUCUCCUGAGUAACUAAGAAUGUUGGCACAUUGAAGGUGGCCAACAAAUUGGUUGACUGAUGAAGUGCAGAACAGAUAUAUGCACUGCUGGUUUUUGGCCAGUGUUUGUUCUGCACUGUUGUCUGGGGCCUAUGUUGACUCUUAAAUGCACACAAUAUCACAGUUAGCUGGUUGGGUCCAUGGGGUCCAGCUCACAUUUUACUUCCUCCAGGAACCUACUAUAUUUCCAGUUCCUCCUCCCUAUUAUCUCUCCAAUGAGAAAUGAUCUCUCCCUCUUAUAAAGUCAUGCAACAUUUUGGAAAAAUAUUUCUUACAAGACUUAGCCCUGCUUUCAGAUAUAGCUCCUCUGACAUAUUAAUGUGAGUUCCUCCAGAGCCCACUCACUCUGAUGCCCCUGUCUUCUGCUUAUUGCUCUGAGCAGAGCAGGUGAUCGGUAUGAGUGUGUUGAACUGAAUUGAUAUUUUCUUAGCACCUUUCUUGUGUCUUUCUACACAGAACGUAGCAUCUGGCUGGCCACUGAAGUGCCCAAUAAAUACUUGCUAAAUAAAUAAACCAAUGGGACUGACCUGCUAAGGGAAGGAAUGGAACCACCUUUGUUAAUGUCAUAGGCAUUGCAAUGGUUGCCUUGGAGACCUUGCUUCUCUGUGGUCAGAACCACUGGUGCUUACAGUCAAGGGCAGGAAGAGUAAAGGGCAGGUUUUGGUAGACUAGUGGGAAAGGUGAGGCUGUUCCUAGGUUCCAAUCUCACCCCCAGAGAAUGCCAACCUGGGUGACUUUCUCCACAGCCUUUCCAAUACAGAGCACCAUCUGCUCUCAUCAAACACCAAGGCCUGGACAAGGUGAUGGCUCGCUCUUUAGUCAAUGCCCGGCAUUGGUCAAAUCAAACCAAACCAAACCAAGAUUUCUAUGCAGAAAAGACAGUCCAAUGCCACUCAUAAUAAUUUAGAACAUCUUUUGAAAAAAAAAAGAAAGCUAACCCCCAACCAAUAAACUCCCCCAAAUCCCGAAAGUAAAAUCCCUGGACUCUGUGUCUAUGGGUUUCCAUUGCGUGCUGUCACAGGGGAGAAUGGGAAAGGCAACGGAGCCCUUAGGGAGCAAGGAUGGGGUCACACAGUUCGUGACGCUGGGCUUCGGAUCUGAACUCUGCUACCUGCUGCCUCAGUAGUUCCUGGCAAGUUACUUAAUCUCUCUGAACCUCAGUUUGUCUUUCUGCGGUGGCGAUAGGUAACUUAAUUGUGAGAGCUAUGUGCCAGGUCCUAUUCUAAAUGAGACAGGUUCUAUUAAAGCCUAACAUGGAUGUCUUACUAUCACCUUCCUUUUACAGAUGGGGAACCGAAGCACAGAGAAGAUCUCAGGAUAAGGGUAACAGCGCCUGUUACUUUUCACUCCCUCAAGGAUGUUCCUCAAGAGAAAUAACAAAUGCUCGGAUUUCCACAAAAAUUUGAAAACUCAGGGAUCCCAGGUUGCAAGUCAGGUAACCUGCGCCUGCCCAGAUGAACCAAGUAUGCCCAAUUUGUGACCUCAGUGCUGUCCAGAAACAAAACGUCAACCACAGUUGAAGCCUAAGAACUUGGAUCAAGGAGCAGGGACUGAAUUAAGAAGCAGAGGAGCCCCGUUUCAUAGCAGUGCGGACUUAGCCAAGCACUUGUCACCGCCUCUUUGCAUGAUCUGAUCAAAUCAUGCCUCCUUGCAUCUUCCUGUCUCCCUCACAGUUACACUUUUGCAUCCUUGCCAGUUGACUUGCAAUAAAGCUUUUUCUUUUCCCCAAA